Molecule: unclassified non-coding RNA, 356 nt
Filed under: soil metagenome
Description: partial contains 5.8S ribosomal RNA, internal transcribed spacer 2, and large subunit ribosomal RNA
Rfam family: 5.8S ribosomal RNA (bases 1-120)
Source: RNAcentral
GAUGAAGAACGCAGCGAAACGCGAUAGUUAAUGUGAAUUGCAGAAUUCAGUGAAUCAUCGAGUCUUUGAACGCACAUUGCGCCUUUUGGUAUUCCGAGAGGCACGCCUGUCUGAGCGUCAGCAAAACCCUUCGCGCUGGCAAUUUAUUGUCCAGCCGGUGCUGGCGGCGGGGUGCCCCUGAAAAAGGGCGCCCCCCGCUUAAACCUGACGGCGGAAGGUCCGGCGGCCACGGCAAUAGUAGAAAUAUUUUUGCGAGUGCGCCCGUCGCUUCCCCCGCCCUAAGCCCCAAUUCAAAUUUUUGACCUCAGAUCAGACGAGGAUACCCGCUGAACUUAAGCAUAUCAAUAAGCGGAGGA